UCUCACCUUCCCCUCCAAGGAGAAUUCAUCUCACUUCCUGAUGCUGUAGUUGACUAUUUUUUUUCUCUGUUCAUUAAAAUGUAUGUCUCAUGCUUUCAGAGCAUACUAGGACUCCAGUUAACCAAAAUGAGUUGGUGAACAAAAUGCCUUAAAGUCAUUCUCUUCACAGGUUCUAGGGCACAAUAGCAACCCAACCAUGUAAAAAUCCCUUCAUUCAUGGAAUUCACAUUCCACUGGAGAAGAUCGACAUUAAGGAAAAUGAACCAAAUAACAGGCUAGUGAUAAAUUCUAAAAAGAAAACUCAAACAGGAAACAGGAACAAAACCAGGAAAAUUCAAGGGAGUGUGUGAAGAUUUAUAUGGGGCCACCAAAGAAGACCUCACCUGAAGGUGACUUUGAAAAAUUACCAGAAAAAAAAAUGUGUACACGGUAACCAUGAAUAAAUGUGGAGAAGAGCA
Molecule: long non-coding RNA, 458 nt
Organism: Peromyscus eremicus (cactus mouse)
Lineage: Eukaryota; Metazoa; Chordata; Mammalia; Rodentia; Cricetidae
Exons: 2
Source: RefSeq, a predicted model, not a curated record